GUGGGGAAUCUUCCGCAAUGGACGAAAGUCUGACGGAGCGACGCCGUGUGAGUGAAGAAGGCCUUCGGGUCGUAAAGCUCUGUCAUCAGGGACGAACGGCCGGUGGAGUGGAAAGCCACCGGAUUGACGGUACCUGAGAAGGAAGCCACGGCUAACUACGUGCCAGCAGCCGCGGUAAUACGUAGGUGGCAAGCGUUGUCCGGAAUUAUUGGGCGUAAAGCGCGCGCAGGUGGGAUCUUAAGUCCAUUUUGAAAGUUCGGAGCUCAACUCCGUGAUGGGAUGGAAACUGGGAUUCUUGAGUACCGGAGAGGAAAGCGGAAUUCCCCGUGUAACGGUGAAAUGCGUAGAUAUGGGGAGGAACACCAGUGGCGAAGGCGGCUUUCUGGACGGUGUCUGACACUGAGGCGCGAAAGCCAGGGGAGCGAACGGGAUUAGAUACCCCUGUAGUCC
RNAcentral lists this ribosomal RNA (450 nucleotides) under uncultured bacterium. RNAcentral describes it as "partial 16S ribosomal RNA". It matches the Rfam family "Bacterial small subunit ribosomal RNA", at positions 354 to 796 of the family's 1533-position model. The record is from RNAcentral.